GUGAAUGAUAGGCCAGAGAUGAAUGAUAGACCAGAGAUGACUGAUAGACCAGAGGUGAAUGAUAGGCCAGAGGUGAAUGAUAGACCAGAGAUGACUGAUAGACCAGAGGUGAAUGAUAGGCCAGAGGUGAAUGAUAGGCCAGAGAUGAAU
Molecule: long non-coding RNA, 150 nt
Organism: Oncorhynchus keta (chum salmon)
Lineage: Eukaryota; Metazoa; Chordata; Actinopteri; Salmoniformes; Salmonidae
Exons: 3
Source: RefSeq, a predicted model, not a curated record